RNAcentral lists this ribosomal RNA (250 nucleotides) under uncultured bacterium. RNAcentral describes it as "partial 16S ribosomal RNA". It matches the Rfam family "Bacterial small subunit ribosomal RNA", at positions 57 to 305 of the family's 1533-position model. The record is from RNAcentral.
GCAAGUCGAGCGGAAACGCUGUUAGCUUACUCCCAGGCGUCGAGCGGCGGACGGGUGAGUAACGCGUAGGAAUCUACCCAGUAGUGGGGGAUAGCCCGGGGAAACUCGGAUUAAUACCGCAUACGCCCUACGGGGGAAAGGCCGGGACCUUCGGACCGGUCGCUAUUGGAUGAGCCUGCGUUGGAUUAGCUAGUUGGUAGGGUAAAGGCCUACCAAGGCGACGAUCCAUAGCUGGUCUGAGAGGAUGAUC